CUGCUGCCUCCCGUAGGAGUCUGGUCCGUGUCUCAGUACCAGUGUGGGGGACCUUCCUCUCAGAACCCCUACGCAUCGUCGCCACGGUGGGCCGUUACCCCGCCGUCUAGCUAAUGCGCCGCAUGCCCAUCCUCUUCCGAUGAAUCUUUCCUCGAUCUCGGAUGCCCGAAACCGAUAUACGCGGGAUUAGCCUCCCUUUCGGAAGGUUGUCCCUCUGAAGAGGGCAGGUUGCAUACGUGUUACUCACCCGUGCGCCGGUCGCCGG
This 265-nucleotide ribosomal RNA is filed under the name uncultured bacterium. Its description in RNAcentral is "partial 16S ribosomal RNA". The record is from RNAcentral.